UACAGAGGGUGCAAGCGUUAAUCGGAAUUACUGGGCGUAAAGCGCACGCAGGCGGUUGGUUAAGUCAGAUGUGAAAGCCCCGGGCUCAACCUGGGAAUUGCAUUUGAAACUGGCCAACUAGAGUACGUGAGAGGGGGGUAGAAUUCCAAGUGUAGCGGUGAAAUGCGUAGAGAUUUGGAGGAAUACCGGUGGCGAAGGCGGCCCCCUGGCACGAUACUGACGCUCAGGUGCGAAAGCGUGGGGAGCAAACAGG
This 253-nucleotide ribosomal RNA is filed under the name uncultured bacterium. RNAcentral describes it as "partial 16S ribosomal RNA". It matches the Rfam family "Bacterial small subunit ribosomal RNA", at positions 524 to 776 of the family's 1533-position model. The record is from RNAcentral.